Molecule: ribosomal RNA, 253 nt
Filed under: uncultured bacterium
Lineage: Bacteria
Description: partial 16S ribosomal RNA
Rfam family: Bacterial small subunit ribosomal RNA
Source: RNAcentral
UACGUAGGUGGCGAGCGUUGUCCGGAUUUACUUGGCGUAAAGAGCGCGCAGGCGGUCGUUCAAGUCGCGUGUGAAAGCCCCCGGCUCAACUGGGGAGGGUCACGCGAUACUGAUCGACUCGAAGGCAGGAGAGGGUAGUGGAAUUCCCGGUGUAGUGGUGAAAUGCGUAGAUAUCGGGAGGAACACCAGUGGCGAAGGCGACUACCUGGCCUGUUCUUGACGCUGAGGCGCGAAAGCUAGGGGAGCAAACGGG